AGAGUUUGAUCAUGGCUCAGAACGUACGCUGGCGGCACGCCUAACACAUGCAAGUCGAACGAAGUAGCAAUACUUAGUGGCAGACGGGUGAGUAACAUGUAGGUAUCUUCCCUUUGGCCUGGAAUAACACGAGGAAACUUGUGCUAAUACCGGAUAAGUCUUUACAGAGAAAGCUUUAUGCACCAUUGGAUGAGCCUGCACUUGAUUAGUUUGUUGGUAGGGUAAUGGCCUACCAAGACUGUGAUCAAUAGCUGAUUUGAGAGGAUGAUCAGCCACAUUGGGACUGAGACACGGCCCAAACUCCUACGGGAGGCAGCAGUGGGGAAUCUUGCACAAUGGAGGAAACUCUGAUGCAGCGAUGCCGCGUGAGUGAAGAAGGCCUUUGGGUUGUAAAGCUCUUUCGUCGGGGAAGAAAAUGACUGUACCCGAAUAAGAAGGUCCGGCUAACUUCGUGCCAGCAGCCGCGGUAAUACGAAGGGACCUAGCGUAGUUCGGAAUUACUGGGCUUAAAGAGUUCGUAGGUGGUUGAAAAAGUUGGUGGUGAAAUCCCAGAGCUUAACUCUGGAACUGCCAUCAAAACUUUUCAGCUAGAGUUUGAUAGAGGAAAGCAGAAUUUCUAGUGUAGAGGUGAAAUUCGUAGAUAUUAGAAAGAAUACCAAUUGCGAAGGCAGCUUUCUGGAUCAUUACUGACACUGAGGAACGAAAGCAUGGGUAGCGAAGAGGAUUAGAUACCCUCGUAGUCCAUGCCGUAAACGAUGUGUGUUAGACGUUGGAAAUUUAUUUUCAGUGUCGCAGCGAAAGCGAUAAACACACCGCCUGGGGAGUACGACCGCAAGGUUAAAACUCAAAUGAAUUGACGGGGACCCGCACAAGUAGUGGAGCAUGUGGUUUAAUUCGAAGAUACGCGCAGAACCUUACCAACACUUGACAUGUUCGUCGCGACUUUAAGAGAUUAAAGUUUUCGGUUCGGCCGGACGAAACACAGGUGCUGCAUGGCUGUCGUCAGCUCGUGUCGUGAGAUGUUGGGUUAAGUCCCGCAACGAGCGCAACCCUCACUUUUAGUUGCCAUCAUUAAGUUGGGCACUCUGAAAGAACUGCCAGUGAUAAGCUGGAGGAAGGUGGGGAUGACGUCAAGUCCUCAUGGCCCUUACGUGUUGGGCUACACACGUGCUACAAUGGUAUUUACAACAGGAAGCAAGACGGCGACGUCAAGCAAAUCCUUAAAAAAUACCUCAGUUCGGAUUGCACUCUGCAACUCGAGUGCAUGAAGCUGGAAUUACUAGUAAUCGUGGAUCAGCGUGCCACGGUGAAUGCGUUCCCGGGUCUUGUACACACCGCCCGUCACACCAUGGGAGUUGGUUCUACCUUAAGGCAAGGUUUUAAACCCUUGACUACGGUAUAGUCAGCGACUGGGGUGAAGUCAUAACAAGGUAACCGUA
RNAcentral lists this ribosomal RNA (1439 nucleotides) under uncultured bacterium. RNAcentral's name for it is "bacterial SSU rRNA". It matches the Rfam family "Bacterial small subunit ribosomal RNA". The record is from RNAcentral.